Molecule: ribosomal RNA, 279 nt
Filed under: uncultured archaeon
Lineage: Archaea
Description: partial 16S rRNA
Rfam family: Archaeal small subunit ribosomal RNA
Source: RNAcentral
GAGACCCACGCCAACAGUUGCCAGCACGUUCUCCGGAAUGGUGGGGACACUGUUGGGACCGCCUCUGCUAAAGAGGAGGAAGGAAUGGGCAACGGUAGGUCAGCAUGCCCCGAAUUACCCGGGCUACACGCGGGCUACAAUGGACAGGACAAUGGGAAUCGACACCGAGAGGUGAAGGCAAUCCCCUAAACCUGCCCUUAGUUCGGAUUGUGGGCUGCAACUCGCCCACAUGAAGCUGGAAUCCGUAGUAAUCGUGUUUCAAAAUAGCACGGUGAAUAU